This 58-nucleotide transfer RNA is filed under the name Brookesia stumpffi. RNAcentral's name for it is "tRNA-Ser". The record is from RNAcentral. Lineage: Eukaryota; Metazoa; Chordata; Lepidosauria; Squamata; Chamaeleonidae.
GAAAGGGUCAUAUAGAACUGCUAAUUCAAAAACCUGAUACUAACCCAUCAGACCUUUC